UAAUACUCCAUAGAUUGGAGACACUGGAAUGUUCUUUAGUCGAAAGUUCUGGCGCCUUAGGAUGGAUCUGCGGUCGAUUAGGUUGUUGUUGGGGUAACGGCCCAACAAGCCUGUAAUCGAUACGGGUUGUGGGAGCAAGAGCCCGGAGAUGGAAUCUGAGACACGAUUCCAGGCCCUACGGGGCGCAGCAGGCGCGAAAACUUUACAAUGCAGGAAACUGUGAUAAGGGAACUCCGAGUGCCCGUAUACGCGGGCUGUCCAGGUGUUUAAAAAUCAUCUGAAGAAAGGGCCGGGCAAGACCGGUGCCAGCCGCCGCGGUAAUACCGGCGGCUCGAGUGGUGGCCACUAUUAUUGGGCUUAAAGCGUCCGUAGCUGGACCGAUAAGUCUCUUGGGAAAUCCGCCGGCUCAACCGGCGGGCGUCUAAGGGAUACUGUUAGUCUAGGGACCGGGAGAGGUGAGAGGUACUCCGGGGGUAGGAGUGAAAUCCUGUAAUCCCCGGGGGACCACCGAUGGCGAAGGCAUCUCACCAGAACGGCUCCGACAGUGAGGGACGAAAGCUGGGGGAGCAAACGGGAUUAGAUACCCCGGUAGUCCCAGCCGUAGACAAUGUGCGUUAGGUGU
Molecule: ribosomal RNA, 622 nt
Filed under: uncultured archaeon
Lineage: Archaea
Description: bacterial SSU rRNA
Rfam family: Archaeal small subunit ribosomal RNA
Source: RNAcentral